UUGUGGCAAGGUGGCCUGGGUCAACCCAUGAUUCAUACAUCCUUACAAACAGCAUGGUUGGGAUGAGGCUCCAAGCUGGCAGGGUUCGCGAUGGGUGGCUUCUUGGAGACCGCGGUUAUCCACUAAAGACGUGGCUGUUAACCCCCCUCACCAACCCACAAACUGACCGAGAGCGCAGAUACAAUGAUGCACAUUCUCGCACUCGGUCAGUGGUAGAGCGGGCGAUUGGGCAGCUGAAAUGUCGCUGGCGCUGCCUUGACAGGACCGGGGGGAUGCUGUUAUACCGCCCUGAGAAGGUGUGCCGCAUCGUGCUGGCCUGUGGUGUGCUGCACAAUGUCGCGCACAGGCACGGCAUACCACUUGGUGAGGUGGUGGCACCGCCAGAUGACCCCGACCCAGGACCAGUGUAUGUGCAGCCCAACCAACAAGCCAUUCAGGCCCGUCAACAUGUGAUUGCGACAAUAUAAAUGAACAGCAUGCGUCAAGACGCGGCCAGAUGGACGGGCCUCAGCACUGGGGGGAGCACUGGAAACGCCGGAGACGCUGGACACA
Long non-coding RNA from Sinocyclocheilus rhinocerous, 552 nucleotides. RefSeq lists it as uncharacterized. The transcript is spliced from 3 exons. NCBI's taxonomy places the organism in Eukaryota, Metazoa, Chordata, Actinopteri, Cypriniformes, Cyprinidae. The record is from RefSeq and is a predicted model, not a curated record.